This 230-nucleotide ribosomal RNA is filed under the name uncultured bacterium. Its description in RNAcentral is "partial 16S ribosomal RNA". It matches the Rfam family "Bacterial small subunit ribosomal RNA", at positions 128 to 353 of the family's 1533-position model. The record is from RNAcentral.
GCCUUAUAGUGGGGGAGUAGCCUUUCGAAAGGAAGAUUAAUACCGCAUAAGAUUGUAGUAUCGCAUGAUAUAGCAAUUAAAGGAGCAAUCCGCUAUAAGAUGGACCCGCGUCGCAUUAGCUAGUUGGUGAGGUGAUGGCUCACCAAGGCGACGAUGCGUAGCCGACCUGAGAGGGUGAUCGGCCACAUUGGGACUGAGACACGGCCCAGACUCCUACGGGAGGCAGCAUG